GGCGACCGCUAUUGGAGUUCGAUUAAGCCAUGCGAGUAGAAAGAAAUUAGAUUCUUUGCAUACUGCUCAGUAACACGUGGAUAACCUGCCCUACACUGGGGGAUAAUCUCGGGAAACUGAGCAUAAUACCCCAUAGACCACUACGCCUGGAACGGUGAGUGGUUGAAAGCUUCGGCGGUGUAGGAUGGGUCUGCGGCGUAUCAGGUUGUAGGGGGUGUAAUGGACCUCCUAGCCAUCGACGCGUACGGGUUGUGGGAGCAAUAGCCCGGAGACGGAUUCUGAGACACGAAUCCGGACCCUACGGGGUGCAGCAGGCGCGAAAACUUCACACUGCAGGAAACUGUGAUGAGGGAACUCCAAGUGACUGCACAAUGUGUAGCCUUUUCUUGAAUUUUAAUAGUUCUUGGAAUAAGGGCUGGGAAAGACCGGUGCCAGCCGCCGCGGUAAUACCGGCAGCUCGAGUGGUCGUCGCUUUUAUUGGGCCUAAAACGUCCGUAGCCUGUUUGGUAAAUCUGUGGGUAAAUCAAUCCGCUUAACGGAUUGAAUUCUGCAGAGACUGCCAGACUAGGGACCGGGAGAGGUAUGAGGUACUCUGGGGGUAGGGGUAAAAUCCUGUCAUCCUCAGAGGACCACCUGUUGCGAAGGCGUCAUACUGGAACGGAUCCGACGGUCAGGGACGAAGCCUAGGGGCACGAACCGGAUUAGAUACCCGGGUAGUCCUAGGUGUAAACGCUGUGGAUUUGGUGUGUGGGGUCCGCAAUGGGCCCCAUGUGCCGGAGUGAAGAUGUUAAAUCCACUGCCCUGGGGAGUACGGUCGCAAGGCUGAAACUUAAAGGAAUUGGCGGGGGAGCACUGCAACGGGAGGAGCGUGCGGUUUAAUUGGAUUCAACGCCGGAAAACUCACCAAGGCCGACUGUUAGAUGAAGAUCAGCGUAACGAGCUUAUUGGAUUAUCAGAGAGGUGGUGCAUGGCCGUCGUCAGUUCGUACUGUAAAGCGUUCUGUUAAGUCAGAUAACGAACGAGACCCGCAUCCUUAUUUGCGACCCUCAUGUCCGCAUGAGGCGCACCAUAGGGAGAUCGCUGGUGUGAAACCAGAUGAGAGCGCGGGCAACGACAGGUCAGUAUGCCCCGAAUGUCUUGGGCUACACGCGCGCUACAAAGGACAGGACAAUGGGAAGCCACGCCGAGAGGCGGCGCUACCCCGAAACCUGUUCGUAGUUCGGAUCGAGGGCUGUAACUCGCCCUCGUGAAGCUGGAUUCCGUAGUAAUCGUGUUUCAACAUAGCACGGUGAAUAUGCCCCUGCUCCUU
RNAcentral lists this ribosomal RNA (1309 nucleotides) under uncultured marine archaeon. RNAcentral's name for it is "bacterial SSU rRNA". It matches the Rfam family "Archaeal small subunit ribosomal RNA", at positions 21 to 1338 of the family's 1478-position model. The record is from RNAcentral.